AUUGAACGCUGGCGGCAUGCCUUACACAUGCAAGUCGAACGGUAACAGGUCUUCGGAUGCUGACGAGUGGCGAAAGGGUGAGUAAUACAUCGGAACGUGCCUAGUAGUGGGGGAUAACUACUCGAAAGAGUGGCUAAUACCGCAUGAGAUCUACGGAUGAAAGCAGGGGAUCGCAAGACCUUGCGCUACUAGAGCGGCCGAUGGCAGAUUAGGUAGUUGGUGGGAUAAAAGCGUACCAAGCCGACGAUUUGUAGCUGGUCUGAGAGGACGAUCAGCCACACUGGGAGUGAGAAAAGGCCGAGACUCCUACGGGAGGCAGCAGUGGGGAAUUUUGGACAAUGGGCGCAAGACUGAUCCAGCAAUGCCGCGUGCAGGAUGAAGGACUUCGGGUUGUAAACUGCUGUUGUACGGAACGAAAAGCCCCGGGUUAAUACCCUGGGGUCAUGACGGUACCGUAAGAAUAAGCACCGGCUAACUACGUGCCAGCCGCCGCCGUAA
RNAcentral lists this ribosomal RNA (498 nucleotides) under uncultured bacterium. RNAcentral describes it as "partial 16S ribosomal RNA". It matches the Rfam family "Bacterial small subunit ribosomal RNA", at positions 30 to 523 of the family's 1533-position model. The record is from RNAcentral.